GCCUGGGUGGCUCAGUCGGAAGAGCAUAGGACUCUUGAUCUUGGGGUCAUGAGUUUGAGCCCCGUGUUUGGCG
This 73-nucleotide transfer RNA is filed under the name Felis catus (domestic cat). It matches the Rfam family "tRNA". Rfam says of the family: Transfer RNA (tRNA) molecules are approximately 80 nucleotides in length. Their secondary structure includes four short double-helical elements and three loops (D, anti-codon, and T loops). The record is from Rfam by way of RNAcentral. RNAcentral also lists the same sequence under 3 other names. Lineage: Eukaryota; Metazoa; Chordata; Mammalia; Carnivora; Felidae.